CAGCCGCCGCGGGAAUACGUAGGGUGCAAGCGUUAAUCGGAAUUACUGGGCGUAAAGCGUGCGCAGGCGGUUUGUUAAGACAGAUGUGAAAUCCCCGGGCUCAACCUGGGAACUGCAUUUGUGACUGGCAAGCUAGAGUGUGGCAGAGGGGGGUGGAAUUCCGCGUGUAGCAGUGAAAUGCGUAGAUAUGCGGAGGAACACCGAUGGCGAAGGCAGCCCCCUGGGCCAACACUGACGCUCAUGCACGAAAGCGUGGGGAGCAAACAGGAUUAGAUACCCCAGUAGUCCCUGUCUCUUAUAC
Molecule: ribosomal RNA, 301 nt
Filed under: uncultured bacterium
Lineage: Bacteria
Description: partial 16S ribosomal RNA
Rfam family: Bacterial small subunit ribosomal RNA
Source: RNAcentral